AGGGUACAGUGGUGAAAUCCAAGAUGGAGGGGCAGUUGCUCCAAGUGACCGACACCCAGCCCAGGAGCCAGAGUAAAGGUGGGAGGACCCAGAGAGAAACACAGAGCAGCAGAACAGUGCCAUGGACGGGUCAGGAUCUUCACAGAAGCAAGGCCUCCUUUCCCUACCUUUCCCCUUCCCUGGUAAAUUUCCUCAGCCUGCUCACCAAAGAGUGGGAGACAGGCUGCCUGCCGCCUUCGGCCAUGUGUCUCGGACCUUACUAUAUUAACCAACAUCUGUGCAGCCAGAGGUUCUGAGAACUCAAAAGAACUAGAAGGACCCUGGAUCACGUCCCCAGCCACUGGGAAUGUAAAUCGACACAUUCUGCCACCUUCAAGGAAGUCUAUUGGGGAAAAGGAAGCGUAGGUUCUAAAUCCCAAGGGUGGAUGGGAAAGGCUAUCAGGGCUGCCACUGACGCUGAUUCUCCAGAGAAGAUCCCGAGUUCUCUCAUCUUACAGAAUGCAGCUCACCCUCCCUGAGCAGAGACAUUGUGAGGAUUAAAGAUGAGCAAAAGUGGGAGACUGGGGCUCAGUCCCUGGGGGUGGCCUCUGUCCUUCCCUUUUGUGUAAAAAUAAAGCAAGACUUUUCAUGUCCAC
Non-coding RNA from Rattus norvegicus (Norway rat), 635 nucleotides. The record is from RefSeq and is a predicted model, not a curated record. NCBI's taxonomy places the organism in Eukaryota, Metazoa, Chordata, Mammalia, Rodentia, Muridae.